ACAUCACCAAGUUAUAGUCCCACUUCUCCGAGCUACAGUCCCACAUCGCCAGUUUAUAGUCCGACCUCUCCAGCAUACAGCCCAACAUCUCCUGCAUACAGCCCGACAUCUCCAUCAUACAGCCCGACAUCGCCAUCAUACAGCCCUACUUCACCUUCAUACAGCCCUACCUCUCCAUCUUACAGCCCUACGUCUCCAUCAUACAGCCCUACGUCUCCUUCAUACAGCCCUACGUCUCCAUCAUACAGCCCGACAUCGCCCUCGUACAGCCCGACAUCGCCUGCAUACAGCCCGACAUCGCCUGGAUACAGCCCAACAUCGCCGAG
Molecule: long non-coding RNA, 326 nt
Filed under: Brachypodium distachyon (stiff brome)
Lineage: Eukaryota; Viridiplantae; Streptophyta; Magnoliopsida; Poales; Poaceae
Description: long non-coding RNA (BDIS_LNC003090)
Source: RNAcentral